RNAcentral lists this long non-coding RNA (834 nucleotides) under Olea europaea (common olive). Its description in RNAcentral is "long non-coding RNA (OEUR_LNC000384)". The record is from RNAcentral. Lineage: Eukaryota; Viridiplantae; Streptophyta; Magnoliopsida; Lamiales; Oleaceae.
CUCUCUUUUCUACCCUCUCUCUAUCCCCUUUGCCGGAGCCGAAGCCUCUACACAAAGCGGCGCCCACGACGACGGCGCUUUGAAACAAUGAGCGACUUGAUGUGGAUUCAAAGAAACGAUGAUCUCGUCAAUCGUCACUUCACUGCAGCACGUGCAGCGGCAUCGCAGUUUCAGAGCGACAGCACUCGCCGCCGCUCAUAGAUUGGCAGAUUCAACGGCAAUGGCAGUGGCAUCGGAGCUUCAGAGGUUUGCAUUGCAAUUAUCAGAAGAUGGUAAAGUGAUGGUCUGUGUGGUUUUUGGUUGAGGUGCAACUGUGCGACUAGGUGUUGGAGUGCGGCUGCACGGCGAGGUGCUCUAUCUAAUUUAUUUUUUUGUGGUGAUUGUUGAUAGUGCCAGUUGCAGAUUUGGGAUUUUUUUUGGUGGGGAUUGUAAUUGUGGUGUGGUAGAGAUGAGAGGCUGUUGGUGGUGCAGUGGUGGAUUUGGCUGUGGCGGGGGCUAAAACGAAACGUUGAGAUGGUCACAAAUUAUUUGGUGUUGGUGUGGUGGCAUGAUGAUGGCGAUGGCAGAGGCAGUGGCAAUCGAUGGUGACAGUGGUGAUGGAGUGGGAUGAAUAGUGGUGAGGUAUUGGUAGUUACGUAUAAUGAUUGUUAUCGAUAAAUAACGUGGCCAAUGAAAUAUAUAAUUUGUGACUAAUAAAUAAUGUAUGAUCUAAAAAUUCGUUACAUUAUGAUCAAUAAUUUAAUAAUUUGUGAUCUAUAAAUAAUUUAUGACCAAUUAAUUUGAUAUUUUUGUAAUCAUAAAAUAAAUUGUGACUAAUAAAAUUUAUGAAUUGUG